This is a long non-coding RNA of Salvia splendens (bonfire salvia), 809 nucleotides long. RefSeq lists it as uncharacterized. The record is from RefSeq and is a predicted model, not a curated record. NCBI's taxonomy places the organism in Eukaryota, Viridiplantae, Streptophyta, Magnoliopsida, Lamiales, Lamiaceae. The transcript is spliced from 2 exons.
CUGAUUUCUAUAUAAUGGCCCUCUGCUUCAGUUUCACCAAAGUCGGUUUGCAGAGACAAAUUUCUUCAGCUUUUCACAUCUAUAUCAGUACCUAGUUUUGUAAUGAUGCACGGAUCGUUGGAUCAAUCGAUAUCUCCAUACAAAUCCACCAAUUUCAAAAAAUUCCAUCAAAAUCCAACUCCCUCCGACGCUUUCCGGCUAUCCCAAUCCUCACAACCGCCGCUUCUCCCCCUUCCGGCCUCCGCCCGCCGCUUCUCCCCCUUCCGGCCUCCGCCCGCCGCCUCUCGUGCUCGCCCGCUAGCAGGAAGUCAAAAUCCCCAAAAAAGGAAGGUAAAAAAUCGAAAGGUGUUACCAAAGUGGUGCAGUUGAUCUCGAUUGUGGAAAGUGAUGCGAGAAAGUGCGAGAUCGGCGACGUAUUUUCGGGAUCGGCGGUGUUCUCUCCGCCGCCGAGCAGCCUGCCUCUGCCGACCUUCACGAUGAGGCCAAAGCUUAGCUGUCAGGCAGCCGGCGUGGAUGCUGGUGCCACCGAUGUUCUGCGGCGCCUUCUUCGACUCCGGUGAAUUAAUUAAGCUAAGCUGAAGUUGGUUUCUAUAUUUGUGUUGUGGUUUGGAUGAGUUAGAGUGGAGAUCCCAUGUGUUUUUAGGAAUGGGAGCUUCAGCUUUAGAUAAUUUGCUCAACAUAAAUUACCUUCUUCUCUGUAUUUAUCUCCAUUUCCGGUUACGAUGCGUUAAUUAAUUCGACUAGUACUGUUUAAUUCCCUUGUAAUUUGAUUUUUCAUGAAUGAACUAAAUGAUUUUUCUCCAGUUUCA